This 410-nucleotide ribosomal RNA is filed under the name Amazonian soil bacterium P35. Its description in RNAcentral is "bacterial SSU rRNA". It matches the Rfam family "Bacterial small subunit ribosomal RNA", at positions 1018 to 1427 of the family's 1533-position model. The record is from RNAcentral.
UUCGGGGAGCAGAGUGACAGGUGGUGCAUGGUUGUCGUCAGCUCCGUGUCGUGAGAUGUUGGGUUAAGUCCCGCAACGAGCGCAACCNUUGAUCUUAGUUGCCAUCAUUAAGUUGGGCACUCUAAGGUGACUGCCGGUGACAAACCGGAGGAAGGUGGGGAUGACGUCAAAUCAUCAUGCCCCUUAUGACCUGGGCUACACACGUGCUACAAUGGACGGUACAAAGAGCUGCAAGACCGCGAGGUGGAGCUAAUCUCAUAAAACCGUUCUCAGUUCGGAUUGUAGGCUGCAACUCGCCUACAUGAAGCUGGAAUCGCUAGUAAUCGCGGAUCAGCAUGCCGCGGUGAAUACGUUNCCCGGGCNUUGUACACACCGCCCGUCACACCACGAGAGUUUGUAACACCCGAAGU